UCAGGCGGCGGCGGCCCGGGGCGGAGCCGGGCCGGGGCGGGGCGACUGCGGGGGCGGGGCGACCCGCGAAGCCCUGGCGCGCGCGGGCCCGACGCGGGGCGGCGCUGGAGGGGCGGCGCGGGCCCCGAGCCGGGAAGCGGUCGCCGGAGGGCCGCCCUGGCGUGGCGAGACCUGGGGUGCGACAGUUCCCGCCUUGAUGGCAGGGCGGAGACCGGUUCCCUAGUCUCAAAGGGGGCGGGGAGGAUGAGAAGUGGCGAUGGGGCGGGCGCGCAGGACCCGAGCCCGGUGAGCCGGCGAUGCGCCUGGGGGUGAAAAGGAGGAGCCGGAAGACUUUUGUCCUACCCUUCCGAAAGACCUGGAGAAGGCAAACUUGGACAGCGGUUAUGACACCAGCUCUCCAAACAACUGCGACCUAAGUGAUCCCCCAGAGCGAGGUUUGCUGAAAGGUGGAGGAACCCAAGGCACACACCUCUGUGUGUGCCAAAUGGUGUGACCGACCAAAAUGUAAAUUUACAGUUCGAGCCUGUCUUACCGAUUGAAGAUGGUUUGGGUUGAGACUUACAAUCACAUAAUGGAAUAUGAAAGAAUAAGUUUAAUAUUCAGACAUUUGUGUUUAGAAAGCCUGCAGGAUAAAGGAGAAUAAAGUGUUAGACCCAGAAUCCAGGAAAUGCCAGCACAAAGCCUGUAUGUGUUGAGAUAAACUGGACCCAGUCAUUCUCCUACCAUGCAGCGGACAGAUCUCGCUUUACUUCUGGGUUCUCUUUUGGAAAUGGUUACUUAGCAACUCAGAAAUGCCUGUUAUGUGAUAGAAGCCCUCUUCUGUCUACAUGAUACAUGAUAUUAUUGUUGGGAGCCUCCAAGACAUUGGAUGAGCCAUUUACAAGUUUGAGAUGGAGCAAGAUGCAGACCGUGAAAAGGGGUUUCUGUUUACCCAAGAGAACCAUGGGUUACAUUCAGUGGUUUACCGUGUUGCACAGUCCUGUACCAUACAUUCAAAUGGAUGCUCCACAAUUAUUGGCCAAAGUUAUAAAUGUUUUUAUUUGUUUCCUCUAGGUACAAACUAUCAGUGAACAAGACAUUACAGAACAAGUGGGUGAUUGUUUAUGCUGAUGAACAGACAUGGCACCCAUGACAGCUGCUUCACAGAAACGUUCGUUUCCCUGAAUGGAGGGACACCUGCCUCAGACGUCAUUUCCUACCCAUGUUUGUGGGUGGACUGAGAUAACAUGACGGCAGGUUUUGACUAGGUUCUCACUUCCUUGUAGUCUGUCUCCGCGUUGUAGAAUCUCUGAGAGAAGCUGUGAACGGCAAUGGGUGGAACUAGAGGAUGGGCAGGGAACGUGGUAGAACUCGUAAGAAAACUUGCUAGCAGCACCUGUUCUGUUGGCUUCUGAUGAACAUGCCAUUCCUUCAUUCCCACAGCAUUUGGAAUACUCUCCCCUAGAGUCUUUCCAUAGGGGUCCAUGGCUCUGAUAUUAAGAUUUCUUAAUAUAUGCCGUCUUCGCCAACACAGGCAUACACAACGCCGUAUAAAGUUACACCACAUUGGUUUUUUGGCAGCUACAUUACAAAUCUACAUUAACUUUACUUUGUAUUCUUAGAGUUUAAAAAUCAUUUAUUUUUAAAACAGAAACAGAGUCACAGCUGAAGAAAGCAAACAUUGUUACAGGGUGGGGGGUGGGGAGAAGGAGAGGGAUAAAUCAGGAGAUUGGGAUUGACACAUACACACGACUAUAUAUAAAAUAGAUAGCCAGCAAGGACCUACAGUAGAGCACAGGGAAGUCUACUCAACAUUCUGUAAUGACCUAUAUGGGAAUCUAAAAAAGAGUGGAUAUACGUAUAUGUAUAACUGAAUCACUUUGCUGCACACCUGAAACUAACACAAUGUUGUAAAUCAACUAUACUUCAAAAAAAUCAAUUUUUUUUAAAAAGAAAAAAAAGUCAUUUGUUUUUAGUCAUUAGUAUUUUCUUCUAGCUUAAUGUUCCCCUACAUUUUUCACAGAUUUUCUUAUUGUCGACAUAUUCUGGGACCAAAAGACAGGGAUGUGGAGAGAGAAGAGAGUGCUGACUCUCUCUGCUCUCACCACUGCGGCAGCACAGCCCACCAACCCACGCGCAUCAUCCACCAGGCACUCUUCAUGUUUAUUUCUGAUACAGCGUUCGACCUUUCUCAAGAGUCCUGUUAAAGUUUGUGUCAGGUUACAUGCUUUCAGGUUUCUCCACUUCCAUAUAUCCAUCAACUUCUUCCACUAACUUGAUGGAAGGCUCAGCCUUCUUUUUUUUCCCAAACUGAGUCUCCCUGUGUGCUUUUCCUCCAUGACCAGGUCAGUUUGCACACAGGCUUUAGAAACAUAAAACUAAUUGUGUGUCAUUCACCUGACAAUGUUCUUUAUAAAGCAAAUCGACGUGAACAUUUUAAAUACUUUAAACAUAACAAUUUAUUCAAAGUUAAUGAGACUCACUGGCAGUCAUUUUACUCAAUCAGCAAAUAUCCAUGGAGCACCUACUACGUGCCCAACCUAUGCUGCAUGGUAGUUAUUCAAGAGUGACAAGAAAUUGUUUCUGCCCUCAAGAAGUUUGAUCUAAGUGUCCUUAGGAAAUGUGAGUUCUAAAAUCAGAAUUAAAGUGAACAUUGAAUAAAGUGAAAAAAAAUUAUCCUUUAAGCAUGUGAAUCUCUUCAAGAACGGUCAUGUGCUCCCACUCCCAAAGGUCUGAUGCUACUCAGAGAACAAUUCCCCUCUCCUGCUAUCCCCAGGAGCUAUCCCCAGCGAGAGGCAGCAAAAGCUCCUCCACUGCUAAAAUUAUUUCCCUCUUUUUUUCUGAACAAAAUAUUAAAGUCUAAAUUAAAUUUGGCUGUAUUUCAACAUCAUAAUAAAGAUUAAACUCCUGAGUAUGAAAUGUACAGUAUGGGUAAUAUGGUCAAUAACUAUGUGAUAUCUUUUUAUGGUGACUUAUUGAAACUAGACUCAUCAUGGGGAUCAGUUUCAGGUGUAUAGAAAUAUCGCCUCACCAUGUUGUGUAACAGAAACUAACAAAAGGUUGUAGGUCAAUUACAUUUCAAAAAGAAACACAUCCAGGGGGGUGGGGUAGGGUGAAUUGGGACAUUGGGAUUGCCAUGUAUACAUUACUAAUAAGAAAAAAAUACCAAAUUGUACUCCUUAGAUAUAUGCAGUUUAUUGUAUGUCAAUUAUAUCUCAAUGAAAAUUCUUAAACACACACACACACACACAUCCAUAGAAAAAGAGAUCAGAUUUGUGGCUACCAGAGGCGGGGGUGGGGGGUGGGGGUACUGGAUAAACACAGUCAAAAGGCACAAACUUCCAGUUAUAGGAUACAGAAGUGCUAGGGAUGUAAUGUACAACACGAUGAAAUAUAAUUAACACUGAUGCAUGAUAUAUGUAAAAGUUGUUAAGAGAGCAAAUUCUUAGCGUUCUUAACCCAUUUUUUUCUAUUUCUUUAAUUUUGUGCCUAUAUGAGAUGAUAGAUGGUCACUAAAGUUAUUGUGAUAAUCACUUCAUGAUGAAGGUAAAUCAAAUCAUUUUGCUGUACACCUUAAAUGUAUACAGUACUGUAUGUCAAUUACAUCUCAAUAAAACC
Hippopotamus amphibius kiboko is the source of this 3597-nucleotide RNA transcript. It is a transcript of the gene named serine/arginine repetitive matrix protein 1-like, with no coding region annotated. NCBI's taxonomy places the organism in Eukaryota, Metazoa, Chordata, Mammalia, Artiodactyla, Hippopotamidae. The transcript is spliced from 3 exons. The record is from RefSeq and is a predicted model, not a curated record.